UGUACUCAGUCAUCUGCUUUGACAAAGAUGAGGAGGUGGAGGUUGCCCCAACAUCCUGGUUUCAGGAAGGGACCUGUAGGUGGCCUCCCUACAAGAGCCAGGGAAUUCAGAGGGCCAUCAAGCAGCUGGAGGAGGCCCAAAGUACAUGGCCUGUUUACACAGACGCCAGGAUAUUUUAUUCUUCAGACAGUAUUUUAGAGUGCCGUAAGCGAGUUUCACUGGCUCUGGAACAGACGGACUAUACAUCAGAGGCAGACGACCAAGACAUGCGGCCUAAAAGAAAACUUAAGCCAAGUAGAUAUAAUAGAGACCAGGAGGAGGAGGAAAACCUCAGUCCACCGAAAAGGAAGACUGUGUCUCUUCCCAAGGCCCCCGCUAUCCCAAGACCUCCCUCCAAUUCCAGGCGCUUCAUUCUGAUGCCAAAUACAGAAUGUGGGUUUGUUGAGGUCCCCUCAUCUAUUGAGGAGCCUCAGAAUUCUCAGCAUGUAAUGAACCUGGGGUCAACCCUCCGCCAGGCAAUAGAGCAACAUUAUGGUGACAUGGCAGGGUCAGAGCAGCAGCAGAGCAGC
Molecule: long non-coding RNA, 569 nt
Organism: Fundulus heteroclitus (mummichog)
Lineage: Eukaryota; Metazoa; Chordata; Actinopteri; Cyprinodontiformes; Fundulidae
Exons: 4
Source: RefSeq, a predicted model, not a curated record